RNAcentral lists this unclassified non-coding RNA (323 nucleotides) under soil metagenome. RNAcentral describes it as "partial contains 5.8S ribosomal RNA, internal transcribed spacer 2, and large subunit ribosomal RNA". The stretch from base 1 to 120 matches the Rfam family "5.8S ribosomal RNA", at positions 35 to 154 of the family's 154-position model. The record is from RNAcentral.
GAUGAAGAACGUAGCGAAAUGCGAUAAGUAGUGUGAAUUGCAGAAUUUAGUGAAUCAUCGAAUCUUUGAACGCACAUUGCGCCCUAUAGUAUUCUGUAGGGCAUGCCUGUUCGAGCGUUAUUGAGACCUCAAGCUCUGCUUGGAAAUGGGCGCUUGUCUUGCCUUGCAGACUCGCCUUAAAACCAUUGGCAGCUGAUUUACAAUGUUUGGUGCACAGUACAUGAGCCCAAGUGUUGCAAUGAGUGGCCCAAAAGUAUACAAUAGAAGCUUAACCUCGGAUCAGGUAGGGAUACCCGCUGAACUUAAGCAUAUCAAUAAGCGGA